CAAAAAGGGCAAACUCGAAAGGGUGAUCAGGUUUCCCGUAGGUUCCGAAGACGGUGUCCAACCAAUCCUCUUGGGCGAAACUUGUGAUUAGUUGCAGAUUUCAGUCUAUCAGAAUCACUUGGGCAACCAAAUCAUCGAGUUAGGUAAACAGAGACGAACAGAGUUGAGGUUUUACAAGAUUCCAACAAUCCAAAAAUUCUAUCCUUCCGCUGUGUGAAGGGAGCUGCUUCCCAAACAUCACUCGCAAACUUACACUGAAAAAACAGAUGAGGGAUAGAUUCAAUGGCACCACGUCUCUUACAUACCGGCUCAACAUUGAUAUGUCUUUCUACCAGUCUUGCGCUCACAGGGAGGGCUCCUUUAGCUGCUUUCCAGAUCAACAUUUUAACCUUUGGGGCUGUAGGUAGGUUCCAUACAGACUGGAACCAGUUGACGUUGACGUCUGAAGGUUGAAGGCCAUGUGAAAAAAACAUUGCAUAGUAUAUAUAAACCUUUCAAAAACUUUGAUAUUUUUUCUUUGAAUCAGAAUAUUUUAAGCCAAAAACCUAGCUCAUUUUAAAAAUAAAAAUUAGAUUUUCAUCCGCCUUUUAAGACACUGAGAUUGUUGUUUAGCGUUUAACAAAAUUUUAGUUUUUGUCAUUUUUAAUUAUUUAUGAAUUAUUAAACAAAAAUUGUCAAAGGAGGUAAGAUAAUUAAUUCAAUUCUCUUUGCAGCCAAGUGAAGAGAAUUUAACAUUAGUAUUUGUCUGCUACGAAACUGAGAUUCUUUUUUCUGCACGAAUCAUAAAUAAAAGCUGAGAUAUCUUGACUUAUGAUUUGUAGCCAAUGAAAGGGUAUUUUCUUUUCUAGUUUGUGUUUGGUAAUAACACUAUGGUUUGUGUCCACCACAUAUUUGUUUCUUUUCUAGGUAAAAUUAUUGUGUUCUGUUUUUUUUAUUAAAAUAUACUAGUAACCAUUUUAAUUAGAGUAGGCGCUAAAAUGGUUCUUGAGGAGCACUAAAUGUGUAUCAUACAUUGAAUGUGUAAUUGUGUAUUAAUAGAAUCCAUUUGUACAAAAAAUACCCUUAAUGAGAAGUUCAUAUAUAGUGUUAAAGCGAGUUGCAUUUUUGUAAAUCGUGUAUGAGAGAAAUGUUAUAUUUAUAGAAUACUAGGGUCUUUGUCCGCGCUACGCGCAGAAAAUAGAUUUAAAUAUAUUAUGUUUAAGAUUUAAAUCUUUAAAUAAUAUUAAAAAUUUAUUUGAUAUGUUUAAUUAAGUUUUUUUAGAUGUGGAUAUUGAAAAAAAUAUGUGAAAUAUAAUUGUGUGUUGACUCUUUUAAUAUUUGGCGUUAAUUGUAGCAGAAAAUAUUACUCGUUUGAACUAAUUUGGGCCAUAUAAUUAAAACUAAAAAAUUGUAGUUGCAUGCUUUUAACGUGAAACUCUUGCAGAAUGAAAUAAGCAAUUUUAUUAAAUAUAUGGGAGCAAAUUUUAUUUGAUAUUAUAAUGUAUUACUAUAAAGGUUUUAAAAAGCGAAUUGUUUCCAAAAUAAGUGCAAAAGUAUGAAACAAGCAAUUUGAGAAGAAAGA
Molecule: long non-coding RNA, 1561 nt
Organism: Brassica rapa (field mustard)
Lineage: Eukaryota; Viridiplantae; Streptophyta; Magnoliopsida; Brassicales; Brassicaceae
Source: RefSeq, a predicted model, not a curated record